Gopherus evgoodei (Goodes thornscrub tortoise) is the source of this 3588-nucleotide long non-coding RNA. RefSeq lists it as uncharacterized. The record is from RefSeq and is a predicted model, not a curated record. NCBI's taxonomy places the organism in Eukaryota, Metazoa, Chordata, Testudines, Testudinidae. The transcript has 2 exons.
CUGAUAAAGAAGCGAGACCUGGAGCCUCUGAUAAUCAGCACCAUAUGGAAAGGGGACAAGGCGCAGGAGACGAGAGAGAAGGGAGCCAAGACUGGCCACAAGACAGCUUGAGCAAACCAGUGGCGGUCCCAAGGGAGUGAUGAAGAGUACAAGCCAGACUGGCCAAAGGCAUGGGUCCUGCAGAAAGCUGGACAUCACAGCGCAGAUGCUCCAGAGGCUAAACCAGCUACAGACAUCACAGGUAGCCUUCAAGCGCAUCUCUUCCUGAAACAGCUGCGAUCCCUGGAAGCCCAGCCUAGUGGAGACUGAACCAGCCCCAGUAUUUCCCCAAGGGCAGUCUGGAUCCACUCCCCUUCAGAUUGCCCCAUUGCCCCUCCCCACUUGAGGCCUGACUUGAGGGAGAGGGGACAUUGCUCACAGCUGGGAACUUAAUGCCACUUUGACUGUUAAACCUGCCAGUGCCAGCUCAGCACACACCUGUCAGCUCUUUAAAGCCCAGCACUGAAGAAGCUGGAAGGCGGCCAGGCAGAGAACACUGUGUGGAGAGUUUGCCUGCACCCCUCCCCCCCAUACGCAGGUCAGUGGUGGUAGACGUGACUGCACUUUGGGGUCACUGGGGGAAGAAGUGCUAUACACAUAUUAGAGGGUAGUUUGGAGGAACCCUGCUGGAGAACCGCAUGGAGUGAACCUUUAACCCAAGUGGGCUCCCACAGUGGGAGUGCGGCGCAUGCACAGACUGCACUGGGCACCUCCUCAGCAAGGCCAGAGGCACACAGGCCCUGGAAACUGUGUGCUGACACAGCACAAGAAAGCUGUGCUGAGUGGUAAACAGAGGCUGGCUCACCUUACAUGAUCCCACACAGAAGCGGACAAGCUGCGUGGGAAGAGAGCCAAAGCCUCUGCUGCUAUAACCAGAACAAAACAGCACCACAUUAAGUUAUAGUGACACAACUAAGCAGGCAGUCACUGCCAACAGAGGUCAGCAGUAGAGCAGAGGAGUGCUGGCGUUCGGGGGGGCGAUGCCUGGAUUGGGGUGCAGGAGAGAAAAGGGAAACAGGGACUGGGGCACAGGCUGAGGCAGAAGGAUGCUAAGGAAGGGGAACUGGGACAAACCUUUGGGUUUUAUUUUUAGCCUCUUGCUAAGGCACAAGGAUUAAGACCAGAAGGCAGCUGGUAUAUCAAGUCCUACUCAUCACAGCAAGCAGAGCACCAGUGACAUGCUACUGAAAGGUUAAUAUUCUUCGGGCUCCAUGCCUGCUGCAAGAACAGCGUGGCACUGAACGCCUGAGCGGAUUGGCAGAGAUGAAAACGUAGUGCUGAGCACACAGCCUGCCCUCUCAGUGAUCCCUCCCCCUGGAACUUGCCAGCAGGGUGCAGCACAAUGCAGUGGCCAGGGGGAAGGCAGCAGGUUGGGAUCCUUGGGAAGCAGAGUCAGCAUGUCCCUCACAACAGGGCACGUGGGGAUCAUGGGCCUUUCAAACCUGAACGAGACUCAAAACCUGUCCUGAGCCCCCUGGGCUAGUGAGACACACACAGAGCAGGAUGGGGCUCAGAUCCACUCCUGAGAACAGCCCACUCCAUGCAGUCUUCUGCACAGAGCUCCACAGAGCACAUGGGUGAACUUUUACAUGCUCAGCUAGCUGCUGUUGUGGUUAAGUGCCCGCAAUUUGCCCCUCAUGCUGACGCCAAGUAUCAGUACAGGGAGCUCUGUCAGGUGAGCAAUAAAGACAGCUCUAAUGAUACACCCAACACGCGGCAAGGCUCAUCCCCCUUCUCAGCAUCAAUCUCUCACGCCUCCCAAGUGGGGGAGCAAGAGAGAAGCCCCCUUUGCAUCCCCCUUUUCACCACAACCAGGCGUGCAUGAACCCACCCACUACUAACAGAUUUGCAUUCUGAGAUCCUCAGCGGGAAGUCUCUGUAAAAUGGCUUCUAGCCGAAUGGCCACUUGCCAAACCAAGAUGGGGUUGCCCGAGCAGAGUCCAGGAACUGCCCAUUCCCAGCAGUACAGAUAGAGGGCACCCUGCUGUGGAUUUCAGCAAAAACAGCCCCCAGAUCUUAUCCUGCACCCUCAUCUUGUACAUUGCUCUCUGGCUAUUAGAUUUAGCCCUUUGGCUAAUAAGUACCUAGAAAAUUACUCCAGCCCUGGUUAAUAGCCUAUGUUUACAUGUAGCAGACAUUUAAAACCAUGGUAUAUCCAUGUUAGAGAAUACCACGUUCAAAUCCAGCUUUGGUAGGGGAGUGUCUGACAUCUCUGUUGAACACAGUUGCUUAAACUGGUUGUUUGGAGAGCGCCAUGUGUAUCCAGGUUCUGCUACAACCUAAAGAAUAAGCUGUGUCAUUGGCAGGGGCUUCCCAUGGUUUGGGGUAGAUCCACAUCAGCCAGACCUUCCAGGUGAUCCUACAAUGCCCAGGACACCAAACAGGUGUUUGCCCAACAUUGGAUUCCAAACCAGUAAGCAAACAGCAAUCUGGCACAACUGCGUCUGUGUGUAUUUGGAGUACUGCAAACAGCUGCACAGGUGAACGUGCACUCAUCCAACACACCUGCAAAAGAGACAUACUGGGCAUGCCUCUCUCACAGCUGUGAAGAAUGGAAAGCUCCAGGCUGGGUCAGGGACACUGCAGUGCCCACGCUGUAAAAUUCAUCCCACUUAGUGAAUAACCUCACUGAAGAUGAGUCCCAACACCAACACCAACUAUGACACGGUCCGCAAAGAACAGAAAUAUGGCUAGCAACACAUUCCCCAGCAGUCACUGAACUGCAGACAGACAGUAACGGCUUCCAUGCUUUGUCCACUCAAAGAUUUGUUUCUAUAAGCGAGAAUUUUUACUACUGCAUUUUACAGAUAUUGAAAAAAAUACAUCCAGGAAGUACAUCCCUCCUCUUGAUCUCACAGCAUAUCUAGUCUUCAGUGUCUUCCAGAUGCUAAGCUACCUGAGGCAGAAACAGGCUACUUUUGCAUGGCAUACAGCAUAGAUCUCAUUGUGUACACUUCUGUAGCAGCAAAGAACAUGAAAUGCAGAUGAGAUGGAGUACCUGAUUUCAGAGGAGAUGCACGCACAGAAACAGCAGAACAAGUGUGGCUUGCAAAACAGCUACAGCUUUGUAUAACAACCGUGACAAAUUCCCACCUGGAAGCUCUUCCUGUUUGCACCCAGGUAUCAGAAAACUCCAGUAGCUAGCAAGCACUGGCUAGGUAACAGACACAUUGCCUCCUUUUAGUUUAGACAUAGGCUGACAGAACGUACCCUACUUGUAGUAUUCUUUCAUGCAAGGAUGCUGCUUAGGAACAAGAUUAAGAGUGAACUGGAAAGUGAAAACAGAGCUAGAUAAAACACAAAUGUGCUUCGAAAAGAGGGAUUUCAGCACAGAAAUGAGAUUUAAAAAGAUGCUGUCAACUUGAAAAAAGUCACGUUCCUCCCAACCUUUUUGUUAAAUCUAUUAUACAGUUACUAACACAAAAAAUGCAGAGACAGGCUUUUUGUUUAUGUUACUACAAUGCCUAAUACAAUGGGACUUGGUCCAUUACCCAAAUAAUAUGACUAAAAAUGAAAUGAGAGAAUAAAUUCUCUAUUUACUCCAGUGUA